AGCUUCCGAACCGGUUAAGCACAGAGUUUUUUUUCUCUUGGGGCGAGAGACGGACGAGCGAAAAAUAUGAGGGACCUGGGCGAGGGGGAGGGAUUUCUCUAGUGGACGCUAGCGAAGACUACGUAUCACGGCCUCAGAAAGGGUGGGACAUUCUCGGCUCUCACACACGAGUAUGCGCCGAUGUGGUUAGAUGGUGUGGGGGGGGCUGGGUCACCCCUGGAACACUACCUGGUUGGGGUGAAAGAAUAAGCACACUCACUCUGACACAGAGACACGACUCAUACUUCUGGGAGGAGUAGGUGAGGGAUAUAUUUCACUGUGCGCCCGCCCCAGACACGCCUGUGGCGUGUAUAAGGAAUGCGUCUUGGGUUUGACUUAUAUUUUGCGGGGAGGAAAGGGAAGAGAUAAUUAACCCUUUCCAUAUUCCCGACCCCCUCAAAACACGCUCCCUCUGUCCCCGCGCCCACCCCCGCUAAAACGGAGGGGGCGAAAGUUAUUAUUACUUUUUGUGGGCAUAGCGCGCACCCGCGGUCUGUGUCGAUCAUAUGUAAAAUCCGGGCUCUGCUCUGAACAGUGCUUGAGACGAGCUACACGAGACUCUUGGUGAGGGAAUACCUCCGGUGUGGAGCGGUGAUGUGUAUAGAUCUCUGGAACAAUUCGCGAUGCAAACGCCCCCCUCUGCAAAAAACUGUGGAGCACAUGAGC
This 705-nucleotide ribosomal RNA is filed under the name Caldivirga sp. SS79. RNAcentral describes it as "partial 16S ribosomal RNA". The record is from RNAcentral. Lineage: Archaea; Thermoproteati; Thermoproteota; Thermoprotei; Thermoproteales; Thermoproteaceae.